GUUAAGGUGGCAGAGCCCGGUACUGCAAAAGACCUAAGACCUUUGACACAGAGGUUCAAAUCCUCUCCUUAACU
This 74-nucleotide transfer RNA is filed under the name Lactarius lactarius (false trevally). RNAcentral's name for it is "tRNA-Leu". It matches the Rfam family "tRNA". Rfam says of the family: Transfer RNA (tRNA) molecules are approximately 80 nucleotides in length. Their secondary structure includes four short double-helical elements and three loops (D, anti-codon, and T loops). Lineage: Eukaryota; Metazoa; Chordata; Actinopteri; Lactariidae. The record is from RNAcentral.